AGCAGCCGCGGUAAUUCCAGCUCCAAUAGCGUAUAUUAAAGUUGUUGCAGUUAAAAAGCUCGUAGUUGAACCUUAGGCCCGUGCGGGUGGUCCGUCCUCUGGGCGAGCACUGCGUCGUCGCGGGUCUCACCUUCUGGCGAGCGUGGAUGCCAUUCACUUGGUGUCCGCGGGAACCAGGACCUUUACCUUGAAAAAAUUAGAGUGCUCAAAGCGGGCUCGUACGCUUGAAUACAUUAGCAUGGAAUAAUGAAAUAGGACGACGGUUCUAUUUUGUUGGUUUCCGGGACAGUCGUAAUGAUUAAUAGGGAUAGUUGGGGGCAUUCGUAUUCAAUUGUCAGAGGUGAAAUUCUUGGAUUUAUUGAAGACGAACUACUGCGAAAGCAUUUGCCAAGGAUGUUUUCAUUAAUCAAGAACGAAAGUUGGGGGAUCGAAGACGAUCAGAUACCGUCGUAGUCUCAACCAUAAACUAUGCCGACUGGGAAUCGGGCGAUGUUAUUUUUUUGUGACUCGCUCGGCGCCCCGAG
Molecule: unclassified non-coding RNA, 524 nt
Filed under: uncultured Glomeromycotina
Lineage: Eukaryota; Fungi; Glomeromycota
Description: bacterial SSU rRNA
Rfam family: Eukaryotic small subunit ribosomal RNA
Source: RNAcentral